This 54-nucleotide transfer RNA is filed under the name Eurrhacini sp. UPOL A00627. RNAcentral describes it as "partial tRNA-Ser". Lineage: Eukaryota; Metazoa; Arthropoda; Insecta; Coleoptera; Lycidae. The record is from RNAcentral.
AAGAACAAGUUUAUUGCUCAAUUAAAAGUUAGAAGCUUUUUUGUUUAUUUCUUU